UGCCAGCUUGCUGGUGGAUUAGUGGCGAACGGGUGAGUAACACGUGAGUAACCUGCCCUUAACUCUGGGAUAAGCCUGGGAAACUGGGUCUAAUGCCGGAUAUGACUCCUCAUCGCAUGGUGGGGGGUGGAAAGCUUUUUGUGGUUUUGGAUGGACUCGCGGCCUAUCAGCUUGUUGGUGAGGUAAUGGCUCACCAAGGCGACGACGGGUAGCCGGCCUGAGAGGGUGACCGGCCACACUGGGACUGAGACACGGCCCAGACUUCUACGGGAGGCAGCAGUGGGGAAUAUUGCACAAUGGGCGAAAGCCUGAUGCAGCGACGCCGCGUGAGGGAUGACGGCCUUCGGGUUGUAAACCUCUUUCAGUAGGGAAGAAGCGAAAGUGACGGUACCUGCAGAAGAAGCGCCGGCUAACUACGUGCCAGCAGCCGCGGUAAUACGUAGGGCGCAAGCGUUAUCCGGAAUUAUUGGGCGUAAAGAGCUCGUAGGCGGUUUGUCGCGUCUGCCGUGAAAGUCCGGGGCUCAACUCCGGAUCUGCGGUGGGUACGGGCAGACUAGAGUGAUGUAGGGGAGACUGGAAUUCCUGGUGUAGCGGUGAAAUGCGCAGAUAUCAGGAGGAACACCGAUGGCGAAGGCAGGUCUCUGGGCAUUAACUGACGCUGAGGAGCGAAAGCAUGGGGAGCGAACAGGAUUAGAUACCCUGGUAGUCCAUGCCGUAAACGUUGGGCACUAGGUGUGGGGGACAUUCCACGUUUUCCGCGCCGUAGCUAACGCAUUAAGUGCCCCGCCUGGGGAGUACGGCCGCAAGGCUAAAACUCAAAGGAAUUGACGGGGGCCCGCACAAGCGGCGGAGCAUGCGGAUUAAUUCGAUGCAACGCGAGGAACCUUACCAAGGCUUGACAUGAACCGGAAAUACCUGGAAACAGGUGCCCCGCUUGCGGUCGGUUUACAGGUGGUGCAUGGUUGCCGUCAGCUCGUGUCGUGAGAUGUUGGGUUAAGUCCCGCAACGAGCGCAACCCUCGUUCUAUGUUGCCAGCGCGUUAUGGCGGGGACUCAUAGGAGACUGCCGGGGUCAACUCGGAGGAAGGUGGGGACGACGUCAAAUCAUCAUGCCCCUUAUGUCUUGGGCUUCACGCAUGCUACAAUGGCCGGUACAAAGGGUUGCGAUACUGUGAGGUGGAGCUAAUCCCAAAAAGCCGGUCUCAGUUCGGAUUGGGGUCUGCAACUCGACCCCAUGAAGUCGGAGUCGCU
RNAcentral lists this ribosomal RNA (1250 nucleotides) under unidentified. Its description in RNAcentral is "bacterial SSU rRNA". It matches the Rfam family "Bacterial small subunit ribosomal RNA", at positions 73 to 1336 of the family's 1533-position model. The record is from RNAcentral.